AACGAACGCUGGCGGCAUGCCUAACACAUGCAAGUCGAACGAGACCUUCGGGUCUAGUGGCGCACGGGUGCGUAACGCGUGGGAACCUGCCCUUAGGUUCGGAAUAACUCCCCGAAAGGGGUGCUAAUACCGGAUAAUGUCUUCGGACCAAAGAUUUAUCGCCUUUGGAUGGGCCCGCGUUGGAUUAGCUUGUUGGUAGGGUAAAGGCCUACCAAGGCGACGUUCCAUAGCCGGACUGAGAGGGUGAUCAGCCACACUGGGACUGAGACACGGCCCAGACCCCGACGGGAGGCAGAAGUGGGGGAUAGUGAACAAUGGGCGUAAGCGUGAUGCAGAGCCGGCGCGUGGGCGAGGAUGGCCUUCGGGUUGUAAUCGCCAUUCGCUAGGGACCAAGCUUUUUGUGACGGUACCUAGAGAAGAAGCACCGGCUAACUACGUG
Molecule: ribosomal RNA, 439 nt
Filed under: uncultured bacterium
Lineage: Bacteria
Description: partial 16S ribosomal RNA
Rfam family: Bacterial small subunit ribosomal RNA
Source: RNAcentral